CUUACCAUGCAGUCGAGCGGUAACAGGGGGUGCUUGCCCCCGCUGACGAGCGGCGGACGGGUGAGUAAUGCACAUGAGACUGCCCCCUAUUGGGGGAUAGCCCGGGGAAACCCGGAUUAUUACCGCGUACGCCCUUCGGGGGAAAGCAGGGGAUCUUCGGACCUUGCGCUAUUGGAUGUGCCUAUGUCGGAUUACCUAGUUGGUGGGGUAAAGGCCUACCCCGGCGACGAUCCGUAGCUGGUCUGAGAGGAUGAUCAGCCCCAUCGGGACUGAGACACGGCCCGAACUCCUACGGGAGGCAGCAGUGGGGAAUAUUGGACAAUGGGGGCAACCCUGAUCCAACCCUGCCGCGUGUGUGAAGAAAGCUUUCGGGUUGUAAAGCACUUUCGCUGAGGAGGAAAAGUUGGUCGUUAAUACCGGCCAGCCUUGACGUUACUCACAGAAGAAGCACCGGCUAACUCCGUGCCAGCAGCCGCGGUAAUACGGAGGGUGCGAGCGUUAAUCGGAAUUACUGGGCGUAAAGCGCGCGUAGGUGGUUUGAUAAGCGAGAUGUGAAAGCCCCGGGCUUAACCUGGGAACGGCAUUUCAAACUGUCAGGCUAGAGUAUGGUAGAGGAGUGUGGAAUUUCCUGUGUAGCGGUGAAAUGCGUAGAUAUAGGAAAGAACACCAGUGGCGAAGGCGGGUCUCUGGACCAGUACUGACACUGAUGGUGCGAAAGCGUGGGGAGCAAACAGGAUUAGAUACCCCUGGUAGUCCACGCCGUAAACGAUGUCUACUAGCCGUUGGGGACU
RNAcentral lists this ribosomal RNA (791 nucleotides) under Marinobacter salsuginis. Its description in RNAcentral is "bacterial SSU rRNA". It matches the Rfam family "Bacterial small subunit ribosomal RNA", at positions 48 to 831 of the family's 1533-position model. The record is from RNAcentral. Lineage: Bacteria; Pseudomonadati; Pseudomonadota; Gammaproteobacteria; Pseudomonadales; Marinobacteraceae.